UCCGGCGGGACAAGAAACAAAUUUUUGAAGUCAACAGAAAAAGAAAAGAAGGGACAAGAAAAAACUCAUGGAACAUCAAAUUGAAAAUAAAGCAAGACCAGGAAGAAAAGUGCCUGUGGAAAACCUGAUUUUGUCUAGAAAUUUUUUAGACGUUUAGGGAAUGGCUCCUCUUCCAAAUCAAAACUUCCACUUGUACUGGGUCCAGCCAUAUUAUAGUCAUGAUGGCUUCUCUUCACCUUGCUACGUUCAUCUACCACCAUGGGCUUAUGAAGAACUUGAUUGACAAGACCUAAAUUGUCACAAGGAUGGCUGGAUUCCCCAGCCACGGGAUUGUACUCAUUCUCAUCUUGAUCAUAAACUAAACGGAUUCCGCAUUUUUUCACUUCCAAGCCUGGGAAAGGUGAUUCAAAUGAAGCUCUAAGAUAGCGACACUUGUUCAACUGAUUUGAUUUACCAAAUCCUAUUCGGGAAUGAAAGCCCAUCCAAAGGUGAUCUGACUGAAUAGACGGGAUUCUAUAGAUGAGAAAAGAAGUCCGAGUACAGUCAAUAGCUUCCA
Molecule: unclassified non-coding RNA, 556 nt
Filed under: Hevea brasiliensis (rubber tree)
Lineage: Eukaryota; Viridiplantae; Streptophyta; Magnoliopsida; Malpighiales; Euphorbiaceae
Source: RNAcentral